Coemansia sp. BCRC 34490 is the source of this 73-nucleotide non-coding RNA. The record is from the annotation of a GenBank genome assembly. Lineage: Eukaryota; Fungi; Kickxellomycota; Kickxellomycetes; Kickxellales; Kickxellaceae.
GCCUUCUUGGCUCAGAUGGCAGAGCGUCUGCCUAGUAAGCAGAAGGUCGUCAGUUCGAUUCUGGCAGAAGGCA